Molecule: transfer RNA, 65 nt
Filed under: Henicus brevimucronatus
Lineage: Eukaryota; Metazoa; Arthropoda; Insecta; Orthoptera; Anostostomatidae
Description: tRNA-Pro
Source: RNAcentral
CAGAAAGUAGUUUAAUUAAAAUAUUAAUUUUGGGAAUUGAUGAUAAAGUGUAACUUUUUUUCUGA